GCCCCCUCCCGCCUUCAUGGACAGUGCCUCCGAUGCCCACACCACCACCCCCAGCCAGUCUGACUCGGCCACAGAGGCCAACAAGCCGGACUGCAGCUCUGAGUCAGACACAGCCAUGCCCAACGGAGACAGGACUCCGGUGCCCAACUACCACAGCCUCCCAUCCCCGGGGCAGCUGGAAAGCCACGGGAGAACCACGGCCUUCACGCCGUGGAAGCAGCAGUGCCCUGGAGAGCUGCUGGAGCACGUCAACUCGACAGAAAGUGAGUGCAGUGCGGAGGAAGGGGCCCAGGUCCAUGCCCUCCCCAUGCCACACUUCCUCUACCUGAGGCAGGAGGCGCUGGUGGCUCCCUCAGUGCCCACCGUGCCGCCCACUGAUGCCCUGCGCCCUCCGUCCCCGCAGGGCCUGCUGCUCGGUGGGCGGCUGGAGCUAGUGCCAGUGCCGGAGCUCAGCAGCACCGACAGCUCCGAUGGGGAUGAGGCCUGGAGCCAGGGCCUAGGGGAGAAGGAACCAGGGGUGUCUCUGGAUUACCAGUCAGCUCAGAAGAUCCUGGACAGCCUGCUGAGGCAGCACCAACACCUGGAGAAGGAGCCGGCGAAGGCGAGUGGAGGGGGCUAUCAGGACAGGAGCGAGAUGGGCCAGGCCAAGGGGCACCAGCGCCGGAUUCGCUACUACUGGGACUUCCAGAGUCCGGGCAAGGAGCAGCCCCUGCUGCACCAGCCCCAGCAUGGAGGGGGGUCCCUUCCCCGGGCCAAGGGCGAGAAGGUGUUGCAAAGGGAGCAGGAGUGUGGGGAUGGGGUGAUGGACUCCACACUGCUGUAAGGGGACCCAUAGGCAGAUGAGACCCCUGCCCCACAGCCACUUCACUGUCUACCUCCUGCUGCCCCCUACCACUUCACUGUCUACCCCCUCACCACGGCAAGGAGCCCAGGGGAUCAGGGGUGCCCCACUGAGCAUAGGGAACUGUAGUCUGGGUUUGCUACAGACUGCCUGGGGGACA
Molecule: long non-coding RNA, 1001 nt
Filed under: Chrysemys picta bellii (western painted turtle)
Lineage: Eukaryota; Metazoa; Chordata; Testudines; Emydidae
Description: lncRNA (ENSCPBG00000023651.1)
Source: RNAcentral